RNAcentral lists this non-coding RNA (26 nucleotides) under Homo sapiens (human). The record is from RNAcentral. Lineage: Eukaryota; Metazoa; Chordata; Mammalia; Primates; Hominidae.
UGUGGGGAUAGCCUUAUCUUGGUCCA